RNAcentral lists this ribosomal RNA (468 nucleotides) under uncultured bacterium. RNAcentral describes it as "partial 16S ribosomal RNA". It matches the Rfam family "Bacterial small subunit ribosomal RNA", at positions 28 to 507 of the family's 1533-position model. The record is from RNAcentral.
GACGAACGCUGGCGGCGUGCUUAACACAUGCAAGUCGAACGGAAAGGCCCUGCUUUUGUGGGGUGCUCGAGUGGCGAACGGGUGAGUAACAAGUGAGUAACCUGCCCUUGGCUUUGGGAUAACUUCAGGAAACUGGGGCUAAUACCGGAUAGGAGCUCCUGCUGCAUGGUGGGGGUUGGAAAGUUUCGGCGGGUGGGGAUGGACUCGCGGCUUAGCAGCUUGUUGGUGGGGUAGUGGCUUACCAAGGCUUUGACGGGUAGCCGGCCUGUGAGGGUGACCGGCCACAUUGCGAGAUACAUACGGCCCAGACUCCUACAGGAGGCAGCGGUGGUGAAUAUUGUACUAAGAGCGGAUGCCUGAUGCAGCAACGCCGCCAGCGGGAUAACGGCCUUCGGAUUAUAAACCUUUUUCGCCUGUAACGAAGCUUGAGUGACGGUAAUGGGUAAAGAUGCUCCGGCUAGCUACGUU